GAGACAUUCUCUUGGCUUUCAAGAAACAGCACCACUCGCGUUCCACCUACCUGGCAAUGUCUGUCCUUUCCAAUUUCUAUUCUGUCCUUUUCAUUAGCCUCUUUCUUUCCCUUUUCACUUUCCUAUAAACUUCAGUCAGCAUCCACAAGGGGAAGAGACAAGAACAAGUGAUGAAUCCAAGGUCUCGUACUGCUGGCCAGAGUACUUUCAAGAUGGCCCAAGCUCAUUUAACUUCCGAAGCAUCCACUUGGUUCUCAAGAAAUUCCUGAGUCCUUGUGGGGCAAUCUGUUUUUGCCUUGCCAUCACGUGCUGCUCCAGCCAGACUCCUACCUUCAGGAUUCUCCAGAUGAGAGGCAGAUCCAGUGUUUGUGACUGUUCCCCAAAGCCUAGCCAGAUCUUCCCACUGCCAAACCCAUCCAACCUUCACCGGUCUGGUCCAUUCUUCCUCUUUCGGACUCCUAUCAAGGAACACCUCCUUCUCUAAGUCUAAUAUUAUUCUCCCAAGAAGAGUUAGUUGCUGGAUAAUUUUUGCCUCACCGUGCAUGGCUUUCUCCUCUUCGUGGAAUCUGCCACACUGUUUUGACAUAAGAGAGCUGUUAAAGUGACCACGUCUCCAGGGGUCAAGCCUGUGGAGAAAGGGGAGCAGCAAGAGGUAUUCUUCGAAUUCUGAAGCUACAAGGGACAGGAGGCCAUAAAACCAAAAAGAAGGCCUCUGGAAAGCAAAGCAAGGCAUUUCUUCAGCCUCAAGGUACUGAUGUGGGUAGAUUCAGGACCCACCAGGACCCACCCAGUAGGAGGCCCCUGUGGAUGCACCAAUUUCAAGUAUGAAACUCUGUAGGCUUACACCCUAGUAGCAGAGGUGAACUAGCCAUGAACCAAACCUUACGAGAUUCACUGCCCUGUUCUGAUUCAGUUUAGUCCUAGAGGACAGGAUGAACCUUUUCAGAAGGAAAAUAAUAUAUGGAGACUAUGUAUAUAUUUUUACAGAUAAUACCUGACACUCAAUAAAAUGUUAAUAGGCGUGCCAAGAUACAGGGCAAUAACCUGAAAGAUAAGAUUGAACAAAAAAGAGUUUCACAAGUGAUUCAGAUAUUGGAGUUAGCAGAACAAAGACUUUAAAAUAACUAGAACUAACAUGCCUCCCAAAUAGAGGCAAAUAUGGGCAAACUAGGUGGGAGAUGGAGAACCUCACCAAAGUAUUGAAAUAUAUUUUAAAAAACUAACUAGAAAUUCUAGAAUUGAAAAAUAGAAUAACUGAGAUGAAAAAAUCAGCAAUAGAUAGUUUUAAAAAAGGCUGGACGCAACAGAAGAAAGGAUUAGUAAAGGUAGAUCAAUAGAAACUACACUGAAGCUCAGGAAGAAAAAGUGGAAAAUACAGGAAAAACACAAGGGACAUGAAGAUCUAGUGAUAAAGUUUUAUAUACAUGAAAUAGAAAUUCCAGAAGGAAAAGAUAGAGGUAAUGGGGCAGGAGAAUGUUUGAAGAAUUAAAAAACAUAGCAAGGAAAGAAAAUUACAGUGCAAUUUCUCCCUCAAAAUUUGUUAAGCUGAAGAGUUAUGAUUUGUACACUUUUCUGUAUAUAUGUUACCCUUGAAUAAAAAAUUUAAAAAGGCCAAAUACGUGUCUGACUCCAGCAAACUUUGAUAUUUUAUUCUGUUGACGUAUAUGUUAUCUACAAUAUUGAAAUUCUUGCCAUUCUAGCAUUUAACAGAGGAACUAAAACAGAACAGCAAAGGUUUUUAGUUUUUUAUUUUCUGAAUUAAAAAUUGUUUGUUUAAAAUUUUACAAUAUAAAAAGUAUAAAGUAGAAAAUGAAAAACUCUAAAAUCUCAUUGUGUGUGUGUCCACUUUCAUUUUUUCAAAC
This is a long non-coding RNA of Equus caballus (horse), 1862 nucleotides long. The record is from Ensembl. NCBI's taxonomy places the organism in Eukaryota, Metazoa, Chordata, Mammalia, Perissodactyla, Equidae.